AGAUAGACAGUGUCUAAAAGAUUAUAUAGAAGAGGAGCAAGUUUUUCCUGACGAGUUUAUGGUCCAACCACUGUUGCAGAAGGAGAAGACAUUGACAAGUUUUGCAAUCAAACUCAAUCUGAAAUCAGCAUAACAGGCAAGCAAGAUGUGCUGCUUGUGGAUCACAAGUUGGAAAUGUUAAGGAGAGAAAUGCAUUUGGCUGGCCUAGCAAACAGAAAUGAAGGAGAAUGAUGAUUUAUUAGUUUCUGCCAAUCAAGUGCUAACACAGCCUUCAAUCAAAACAAUGUCUAUAUACAUGAACAUUACCAGAAAGAGUACACGGAAAUUAAACUGACUAUAUGCUGGGUAGAGGGCAUGGAACAGUUCAAUUGUAAUAACAAAGACAUGGCCAGUGAUCAACUAUGGAACAGACCAUGCACCACUCAUUUGUAAAUUCCAAGUCAAACUAAAAAGCCAAAUCAGCCAAUCAGUUUCCAUGAUAGUUCAUGAACAUAUACUUAUCUCUUCAAGGUUAAACUAACAAUCACUUUAAUAAGUCCUGAACCUUAUUGAUAGGGAACCAGAGGAAUCAUGGAAUGAAAUCAAAGAAGUUGUUAAGGAAGAAUGUGAAAAGAGAUUGUCAAAGACCAAGAAACAGAAGAAAACAAACUGGAUGUCAAAACAGAUAGUGGAAAUUGCCAAGAAGAGAAGCCAAAGCCAAGAAAGAAAAAGAUCUCAGGAAGAAACUUAACAAAGAAUUUCAGAUAACGUACAGAAGAGCAAGAAGCAAUAUUACUGUGAUAUUGUAAAGAUAUAAAAGAUGAAAACUGACAGAAAACAAGGGAAGUCUUCCAAAAUCUCUAAAGUAAGAACCUUAAAUUGGUAUAUUGAAGUAUACCAGGACACAGGUAGUGAUGAUUACUAUUAUUUUGAUUAUAUCCCAUCUUUAUUUUUACAACUUAAGCUAGUGUACUAGUAACUGAUUUCAAAGACUAAUAAUGAUGGAAGGAGUAAGUCUGUACAACAUCCAAGAUACCUUGAAGAUAGUUUCUAUUUAUAAAAAUGUCUAGUAUUAGAAAAUGAAGUAAAAUCAACACCAAAUCAGAAGGCUAUAGAUAUUGAUGGUAUAGUUAAAUAAUUAAGGCAAGUCACAGAAGCCAAAUCAGAAAAGGUUGUAAUAAAACUAUGCCAGCAAAUCUGAAGAAUGAUAUAGUGGCCCAAAGAUUGAAAGAAAUCAGUUUAAAUAUCAAGUUAAAAAGGAAACUUGACAAGUGUACAAACUAUUAUACAAUAUCCUUAAUUACACAGACUAGCAAAAAAAAAAUGCUUGAAAUCAUCAAAUGCAUAUUAGGGUCUUACACGGAAAGAGAAUUGCCAGAUGUUCAAACUGGUUUUAGAAAAGAAAGAAGAAAAAUUAUUUUUGAUGCACAAUAAAUAAUGCCAACAAGAAAUCAAUACAGGGUUUAUUAGAAAGGUCUUUAAAUUCUAUCAAUCGAGUCAAACUGUGCUUAGGAAAAUGAAAAUCUCAGAACAUCUCCAGGUAACAUUCAAACUAAAAUGCCUAACCAAGAAGGAGUUAAACUGAUCCAGCGGUUUGAGACUUAUUCUCCUUUUACAAUGUAUACCAACAAUCUCAACCAGCCUUCCAACUUCAAUUCUGAGCAUAGAAGCAACUCCUUACUUGUGUAGUCUCUGACCCCCUUCCUUCCCUAUGAGGAAGGUCUCCAGUUUAAGGAACCAACUCUUUUCUCUUCCUGGACAAUAAAAUGUAUCAAGACCACCUGCAGAGAAGAGUAGGAGUCUUUGUUUGUACAAGCCCAACAAGAAUAAUCUAGCAAGUGUUUUCUCUACAGACUUCUUUUUGUUAUCCUCUGGCACCUCCCUCUUCUUCAACUUCUUCUUCAGAGUGGUCUUUAUGCUCAAAACGUAAAAAGUCUUCAGAUACUUAUACUUUGCUACUCCAACUUAUUCAAAAGUAGGCUGGCAUUUUCCCUUCAUGGCAGAUAUAUUUGUCUUUUUAGGAUUGGCUUUCAACAAUAAAAAGACUAGCAAUCAAGACAUAUUCCAUAGACUAGCAAUUGAUAGGACAGCAGUGGAGACUUUGGGAAAGAUACACACACACACAUCUGGUGAUGUAUCUCCAUAUCUACAAAGAUCAGAGUCAUUCAGACACUGUUUAUCUCUGUGACCAUCUAUGGAAAUUAAAGUUGGACUUUGAAGGAAAUAGAAUUGAUCCAAUUUAUGUUUGAGACAACUCCUGAGAAUACCAUGUAUAGCCAAGAAAACAAACUGAUAGAUCAUACUGAUAGAACAAAUUAAUCCUGAGUUCUCACUUGGAGUACAAAUGGCCAAGCUCAAAGUAUCAUAUUCUAAACACAUUAUGCAAA
Pantherophis guttatus is the source of this 2366-nucleotide non-coding RNA. The record is from RefSeq and is a predicted model, not a curated record. Lineage: Eukaryota; Metazoa; Chordata; Lepidosauria; Squamata; Colubridae.